UCCCUGGUGGCUCAGAUGGUGGAGAAUCUGCCUUCAGAGCAGGAGAGUUGGGUUCGAUCCCUGGGUAGGGAA
RNAcentral lists this transfer RNA (72 nucleotides) under Bos taurus (domestic cattle). It matches the Rfam family "tRNA". From Rfam's summary of the family: Transfer RNA (tRNA) molecules are approximately 80 nucleotides in length. Their secondary structure includes four short double-helical elements and three loops (D, anti-codon, and T loops). Lineage: Eukaryota; Metazoa; Chordata; Mammalia; Artiodactyla; Bovidae. The record is from Rfam by way of RNAcentral. RNAcentral also lists the same sequence under 1 other name.